Molecule: ribosomal RNA, 442 nt
Filed under: uncultured bacterium
Lineage: Bacteria
Description: partial 16S ribosomal RNA
Rfam family: Bacterial small subunit ribosomal RNA
Source: RNAcentral
CUACGGGCGGCUGCAGUGGGGGAUAUUGCACAAUGGGGGAAACCCUGAUGCAGCGAUGCCGCGUGGAGGAAGAAGGUUUUCGGAUUGUAAACUCCUGUCGUAAGGGACGAAUAAAUGACGGUACCUUACAAGAAAGCACCGGCUAACUACGUGCCAGCAGCCGCGGUAAUACGUAGGGUGCAAGCGUUGUCCGGAAUUACUGGGUGUAAAGGGAGUGCAGGCGGGACUGCAAGUCAGAUGUGAAAACUAUGGGCUCAACCCAUCAGAUUGCAUUUGAAACUGUGGUUCUUGAGUGAAGUAGAGGUUGGCGGAAUUCCUAGUGUAGCGGUGAAAUGCGUAGAUAUUAGGAGGAACAUCAGUGGCGAAGGCGGCCAACUGGGCUUUUACUGACGCUGAGGCUCGAAAGCGUGGGUAGCAAACAGGAUUAGAUACCCUUGUAGUC